RNAcentral lists this signal recognition particle RNA (96 nucleotides) under Boudabousia tangfeifanii. Its description in RNAcentral is "Actinomyces sp. VUL4_3 Bacterial small signal recognition particle RNA". It matches the Rfam family "Bacterial small signal recognition particle RNA". Rfam says of the family: The signal recognition particle (SRP) is a universally conserved ribonucleoprotein involved in the co-translational targeting of proteins to membranes. Lineage: Bacteria; Bacillati; Actinomycetota; Actinomycetes; Actinomycetales; Actinomycetaceae. The record is from Rfam by way of RNAcentral.
ACUGGAUCCUCGCGUGACGUUAUCGUCCGAACCUCCCCAGGGCCGGAAGGCAGCAAGGAUAAGGGCGCUCUGAUGGGUACGCGGGGAUUCUUUAUG